This 483-nucleotide ribosomal RNA is filed under the name uncultured bacterium. RNAcentral describes it as "partial 16S ribosomal RNA". It matches the Rfam family "Bacterial small subunit ribosomal RNA", at positions 29 to 507 of the family's 1533-position model. The record is from RNAcentral.
AUUGAACGCUGGCGGCAUGCUUUACACAUGCAAGUCGAACGGCAGCGCGGGCUUCGGCCUGGCGGCGAGUGGCGAACGGGUGAGUAAUACAUCGGAACGUGCCCAGUAGUGGGGGAUAGCUCGGCGAAAGCCGGAUUAAUACCGCAUACGACCUGAGGGUGAAAGCGGGGGAUCUUCGGACCUCGCGCUAUUGGAGCGGCCGAUGGCAGAUUAGCUAGUUGGUGGGUAAAGGGCUACCAAGGCGACGAUCUGUAGCUGGUCUGAGAGGACGACCAGCCACACUGGGACUGAGACACGGCCCAGACUCCUACGGGAGGCAGCAGUGGGGAAUUUUGGACAAUGGGCGAAAGCCUGAUCCAGCAAUGCCGCGUGUGUGAUGAAGGCCUUCGGGUUGUAAAGCACUUUUGGCGGGAACGAAAAGGACUGUGCCAAUACCACGGUUCGAUGACGGUACCCGCAGAAUAAGCACCGGCUAACUACGUG